Molecule: long non-coding RNA, 3550 nt
Filed under: Homo sapiens (human)
Lineage: Eukaryota; Metazoa; Chordata; Mammalia; Primates; Hominidae
Description: HSALNT0107169
Rfam family: mir-133 microRNA precursor family (bases 971-1043)
Source: RNAcentral
GCAGAGGACUGGAGAGUACAAAAGGAGGAGGCUCCCCUUCGGAGAGCAGAGAUAAGAGGAGGCAGGGAGUGAAACUGCCUGAGGAACAGAGAGGAGAGGGGAGGAGAGGAGAGGAGAGGAGAAGAGAGCAGAGGAGAGAUCAGAUCUGUAGCUAGGUCACAUCUGGACAGGACCCAAGUCCAAGGUAAAUCGAGAACAAGUGAUGGAACUAAAGAAUGAAGGAGAAAUGGGUGGACAGGGCACAAAUUGGGGAAUGACAGCCUAUUCAGUGAGGAUAGGAAAUGCACAUAAAGGACAGAUGAAGAUGAUUUCUCUGUGUGUGAUUAGAAGGAUAGCAAUUACAAAGAUAAGAGUGAAAGGAGAGGGAGGAAAGGGGAAAAGGGAAUAAGUAAGAAGACAAAAUAAGCAAUGAGUGUCUAAGUACCGAUCUGAAUGCUUAGAAAAUCACCAGGCUGUUAGGCUGAGCCAAAAGAAGAGCCACAGCCGUACCCAAGAGGGGACCAUCGGAAAGACAGAAGCAGGCAAUUUAAGUAGCUAGCUACUGGGGUAAAAUGAAAAAAAAGAAAAAAUAGAAGAUGGAAAAGGUGAGAAGCAAAAGAGGGAAAACCCAAAGGAGACACUGGCCCAGAAACCUUUUUAACUUUCUGUAAGAAUCUUCAAGGCCCCAAACUAGGCCAAGAUUCUGACUGACAUUUCUGAGCUCACCAGCUGCCGUUUCCUUGAGAGAAUUCUGACAGGAAGGCAUAGAAAUGCGAACCAACACUGCCAGCUCUGGAAAAUAAAUAAAUAAGUAAAUAACUAUCCACAUCCUAAACACCUCAGUGGGGGCCGAAGCCUGCUGGGGAAGAAAGCCCAGCGAGGAGGAGGGACCCGCCUGCAACUUUUCCCCAGGCUUAGACAAAUGAUGCUUGAGACACACCAAGAUACCUGCACACUAGAGGCUGCAGUCACCUCAGAAGAAAGAUGCCCCCUGCUCUGGCUGGUCAAACGGAACCAAGUCCGUCUUCCUGAGAGGUUUGGUCCCCUUCAACCAGCUACAGCAGGGCUGGCAAUGCCCAGUCCUUGGAGAAACAGAAGAGAUUCAACUGCAACUGAAAUUACCUACUAAAACUUUCCUUGAGAAAACAAUUCUGGUUUUUUCACCAUAUUCUUAUGCUCCCAGGAAGGAAGAGAAGAGGAGUCCUGGAGUCAAAAGUGAGCAAGAUUUUAAUGCUCAACACACACUGUUCUGUGCCUUUGCACUCACAGCUGCAGCCACUUACAUGCUUUUGACAGACACACAGUCAAGAAAGAGUUUGAGGAUGGAGUUUGUGCCAACCCUAAGCCAGCCAGGGGAAGAGCAUGAGACAUAGAAGACAGGGCUCCUGCUCACUAGGGGCUAACAGUCUAAGGAAAGAAAUUAGACAUGUAUAUAUGGUGUGAUCCAAUUGAAUUGCAAGUUAUAGCAUGGCUAGUUCCAAGGCAUAAUUCUUACCUAUCCCACCAAAUAUGCCUAGCACAUUAUGUAUCAUCAAGUCUCUAUUGAUCUAUUCAGCCCAAGAUAUCUAUUCACUAAGCAAUCAUUUCUCAGUUCCCUGAUCUGUAGAAUAGGGAUAAUAGUACCUGUCACACCAGGCACAGUGGCUUAUGCCUAAAAUCUCAGCAUUUGGGGUGGCUAAGACAGGGGAUUGCUUGAGGCCAGGAGUUCCAGAUCAGCCUGGUCAACAUAGCAAGAUGCUGUUUCUACCAAAAAAAAAUUUUUUUUGUUUUAAUUAGCUGAAUGCGGUAGUGCACACCUAUAGUCCUAGCUACUUGGGAGGCUGAGGCAGGAAGAUCACUUAAGUCCAGGAGAUGGAGGCUGUAAUGAGCUAAGUUCUCAUAAUCGCUACCUUUUACUAAGGGAGAAUUCUGACCUGUCCUUCCAGUUUAUCUUUUAAGAUUUGUAUCUUUUAUGGUGUGUGUCUGGAACUUAGACAGUAAUAAGUAAAUAUUUGGGUUUAAAAUUCUAUAGACAUGUGUGUUCACAUGCUGUAUUCUGACACAAAUGGGGUAGCAUAAGUGCCUAGAGCCCACCACAGUGACCUCAGAGGAGAACACAGAGCUUACUAGCACAAAUCUUUGCAUUCAGGAAGACCUGGGGUUGAAUGCUGCCCCUCUAAUUUAUUAGCUGUGAUAUAUCCUCUCCGCAGCUCAAUUAACAUUGCACAAGCCUUAGUUUACUCAUCUGUAAAAUGGGGACAAUGAUACCAACCUCAGUUACCGUAAGGCUUAAAACAGACAGUGUUAAUAAAGAGCCAAAUAUAAGCCCUUAAGAAAUAGUAGCUGUUGUUUUACUGCUGUAAAUGGCAACAGCACAAGGACAAUGCUGUGUCCACAGGCACUUGUAUGUAGAAGGAAAGAGCCAAAUUAAAAAAAAAAUAGGAGAAGAACUCAAAAAAUACAUAAAGGCUCAUUGCUCACUGUAGGGUUUUGUUUUUUGUUGUUGUUGUUUUGUUUUUGUUUUUGUUUAUUUUUUGAGACAGGGUCUCACUCUGUUGCCCAGAUAGGAGUGCAGUGGCACGAUUUCAGCUCACUGCAACCUCCGCCUCCCAGGCUCAAGCGAUUCUCCUGCCUCAGCCUCCCAAGCAGCUGAGAUUACAGGCACGCACCACUACCACCCGACUAAGUUUUAUAUUUUUAGUAGAGACAGGGUUUCACCAUGUUGGCCAGGCUGGUCUUGAACUCCUGACCUCAAGUGAUCCGCCCGCCUUGGCCUCCCAAAGUGCUGGGAUUACAAAUGUGAGCCACCGUGCCCAGCCUAUAGGGUAUUUUUAUAUUCCAACUAUUAAUUCUACUAGCAUGUAGCAUACAUGCAUUCACCCUAGUACAUAUGACUAGCAUAUAAUAUGCUUUACUUUUAAAAAAUGCUUUAUACAUGAGACUGAUCUUACCAUCUUCAAUAUCCUGUCUGGAAAGCCUUCAUUUGUGAGUGCUGUUGAGAUCACAUGUCCUCCCAAGUAGGACAUGGAGUGUGAAGGCCAUUGAGUGGGUGUUCCAAAGGGCAGCACAGAAUGGAGUUUAGUUGAAGGUGCUGGGGACACACUACCUGGGCUCAAGUCCCAGCUCCCCACUCUCCAGCUGUGCCACUUGAGCAAGUUGCUUGACCUCUCCAGGCCUGGGUUUCCUCAUCUGUAAAGUAGGAAUAUUGAUAAUAAUAUCUACUUCAUAGAGUUUCAUGAGAAUACAUGUAAAGGCCUGAAACCAGUAUUGGGUACAUAAUAAUACAUUCUUAAGAGUCUUUAUUUCUGACAAUGUACCUGAAAUGUUCCUGAAAUUAAGUUGGUGUUCAAUAAAAACAUGUUCACUGAAAGAUCAGCUUCUUUGUUUAUUUUAAGCACAAACUAUGGGAUCAUGUAAUUUUUGGUUCAACUAUUUCUACUUAUCUCUUUCAAUGCAGCACACUGGUUCAAAGCAGUAGUAAGGUGUGGGGGAAGGAUGGCAACAAGCUUCUCUCUGCUUCCCAGGUCUGUGAUGAAAUGGAACUUCCCUGCGAACUAGGGGUAUGCCUCUGGGAGUAGAAGCAGGGUGAUCU